AUAUUCUUGCCUGGGAUCUCUGUCGCUCAUCCAUGGAUGCACCAUCUAUAUCUGCCUCGUUUUCUCAAUUUUUCCUGUUGUACAUUGAUCUGCUGGUUGUUUGAAGUUUGGUCACUCCAUUUGGCCUUUUACAUGCUCUUAAAUUUUAUGCUGUGUGUCAAGUAAUAUCUGGUGGUAAUGCUUUUCAGGCGGUGGAGAGAGUUGGCAG
This 208-nucleotide unclassified non-coding RNA is filed under the name Hevea brasiliensis (rubber tree). The record is from RNAcentral. Lineage: Eukaryota; Viridiplantae; Streptophyta; Magnoliopsida; Malpighiales; Euphorbiaceae.